CCGUCCCACGACUUGAAACUCAAAGGAAUUAGACGGGGACCCGCGACAAGCGGUGGAUGAUGUGGAUUAAUUCGAUGCAACGCGAAGAACCUUACCUGGUCUUGACAUGUACGGAACCCUCCAGAGACGGAGGGGUGCCUUCGGGAGCCGUAACACAGGUGCUGCAUGGCUGUCGUCAGCUCGUGUCGUGAGAUGUUGGGUUAAGUCCCGCAACGAGCGCAACCCUUGUCAUUAGUUGCCAUCAUUAAGUUGGGCACUCUAAUGAGACUGCCGGUGACAAGCCGGAGGAAGGUGGGGAUGACGUCAAGUCCUCAUGGCCCUUAUGACCAGGGCUUCACACGUCAUACAAUGGUCGGUACAGAGGGUAGCCAAGCCGCGAGGUGGAGCCAAUCUCACAAAACCGAUCGUAGUCCGGAUUGCACUCUGCAACUCGAGUGCAUGAAGUCGGAAUCGCUAGUAAUCGCAGGUCAGCAUACUGCGGUGAAUACGUUCCCGGGUCUUGUACACACGUCGACGCGGCCG
RNAcentral lists this ribosomal RNA (522 nucleotides) under uncultured Neisseria sp. RNAcentral's name for it is "bacterial SSU rRNA". It matches the Rfam family "Bacterial small subunit ribosomal RNA", at positions 883 to 1405 of the family's 1533-position model. Lineage: Bacteria; Pseudomonadati; Pseudomonadota; Betaproteobacteria; Neisseriales; Neisseriaceae. The record is from RNAcentral.